GCCACGGUGGUCUAGCGGUCAGAACACUAGCCUUGUGAGCCUGGGGUCCCGGGUUCAAUUCCCGGUGGUGCUC
RNAcentral lists this transfer RNA (73 nucleotides) under Zootermopsis nevadensis. It matches the Rfam family "tRNA". Rfam says of the family: Transfer RNA (tRNA) molecules are approximately 80 nucleotides in length. Their secondary structure includes four short double-helical elements and three loops (D, anti-codon, and T loops). The record is from Rfam by way of RNAcentral. Lineage: Eukaryota; Metazoa; Arthropoda; Insecta; Blattodea; Termopsidae.